GAGUUUGAUCGUGGCUCAGGAUGAACGCUGGCGGCGUGCCUAAUACAUGCAAGUCGAGCGAACAGACGAGGAGCUUGCUCCUCUGACGUUAGCGGCGGACGGGUGAGUAACACGUGGAUAACCUACCUAUAAGACUGGGAUAACUUCGGGAAACCGGAGCUAAUACCGAAUAAUAUAUUGAACCGCAUGGUUCAAUAGUGAAAAACGGUUUCGCUGUCACUUAUAGAUGGAUCCGCGCCGCAUUAGCUAGUUGGUAGGGUAACGGCUUACCAAGGCGACGAUGCGUAGCCGACCUGAGAGGGUGAUCGGCCACACUGGAACUGAGACACGGUCCAGACUCCUACGGGAGGCAGCAGUAGGGAAUCUUCCGCAAUGGGCGAAAGCCUGACGGAGCAACGCCGCGUGAGUGAUGAAGGUCUUCGGAUCGUAAAACUCUGUUAUUAGGGAAGAACAAAUAGUGUAAGUAACUAUGCACGUCUUGACGGUACCUAAUCAGAAAGCCACGGCUAACUACGUGCCAGCCG
RNAcentral lists this ribosomal RNA (524 nucleotides) under uncultured microorganism. Its description in RNAcentral is "bacterial SSU rRNA". It matches the Rfam family "Bacterial small subunit ribosomal RNA", at positions 9 to 514 of the family's 1533-position model. The record is from RNAcentral.